Molecule: ribosomal RNA, 1654 nt
Filed under: Myxobolus sp. KAB-2001B
Lineage: Eukaryota; Metazoa; Cnidaria; Myxozoa; Bivalvulida; Myxobolidae
Description: SSU rRNA
Rfam family: Eukaryotic small subunit ribosomal RNA
Source: RNAcentral
GAUGAUCUAUCUGAUUGUACAUCCCAUUGGAUAACCGUGGGAAAUCUAGAGCUAAUACAUGCGUUGAUAUAAUGUAUUUGGAGGCAUUGUAAAAGAUGUACUUGAAUACAUUAAGCAUUUAUUAGUGUAAACCAACUAUUGUAAUAUGUGAUAUAUUACAGUGUGGGUGAAUCUAGAUAACUUUGCUGAUCGUAGUGGCGUAAUAUGCCGGCGACGUUUCAGUUGAAUUUCUGCCCUAUCAAUUGGUUGGUAAGGUAGUGGCUUACCAAGGUUGUAACGGGUAACGGGGGAUCAGGGUUCGAUUCCGGAGAGGGAGCCUGAGAAACGGCUACCACAUCCAAGGAAGGCAGCAGGCGCGCAAAUUACCCAAUCCAGACAGUGGGAGGUGGCAACGAGAAUUACUGGGUGGUAGCCUUUAUGGUUAUCGACUUAGAAUGAACGUGAUUUAAGAAAUCCGUUGAGUAACAACUGGAGGGCAAGUCUGGUGCCAGCAGCCGCGGUAAUUCCAGCUCCAGUAGCGUACCUCAAAGUUGCUGCGUUUAAAACGCUCGUAGUUGGAUCACAUGGUUAGGUAUCAGUGAAUUACCAUGUUGGCACAAAAAAUCCUCAAGUGUAGGUGUGACGGUGUGCUAUCACCGUUGCAAUUUAUAUAUUGUGGAGUGCUGCAUGUUGAUUGUUAGCUGAGCCUAACUGAUUGCAUAUGGGGAUGGUGAUUGACCUUUAGUGAGUCGAUCAUCGUGUCCCAUGGAGUGUGCCUUGAAUAAAACAGAGUGCUUAAAGCAGGCUUGACGCCUGAAUGUUAACAGCAUGGAACGAACAAUUGUGGCAACAUGAUGUCGUGCUGAUUGGGCGAUAUACUUUUAUGUGUGUCGUUUCAAUUAGUCGAGAUCAUAGCACCAACCACCAAUAUCGGAUGUUGGUUCCGUAUUGGGGUGAUGAUUAAGAGGAGCGGUUGGGGGCAUUGGUAUUUUGCCGCGAGAGGUGAAAUUCUUGGACCGGCAAAGGACUAACAAAUGCGAAGGCAUUUGCCUAGACCGCAUCCAUUAAUCAAGAACGAUAGUGGGAGGUUCGAAGACGAUCAGAUACCGUCCUAGUUCCCACCGUAAACUAUGCCCACUCGGGAUCAGUUUGGUGCUAAUACUAAACGCUCGAAGUUGCUCCCCCUGGGAAACCUUAAGUUUUUCGGUUACGGGGGGAGUAUGGUUGCAAGGCUGAAACUUAAAGGAAUUGACGGAAGGGCACCACCAGGGGUGGAGCCUGCGGCUUAAUUUGACUCAACACGGGGAAACUCACCCGGUCCGGACAUCGAAAGGAUAAACAGAUUAAAGGUCUUUUUUGAUACGGUGAUUGGUGGUGCAUGGCCGUUCUUAGUUCGUGGAGUGAUCUGUCAGGCCUAUCCCGGUAACGAACGAGACCACAAUCUUCAUUUGAGUAGCAACAGAAUUCAACAAGCACUCUCUGAUGGGUGGCAACACUUAUCAGAGGGUGUUUCUUGAGAAGCAGAAAAGCGGCUUGGGUCGUGAGUGGCAACAUUUCAUGGCCCANGCUGCUGAUCUCUAUGUUGCCGAGCAGUGGGAGACCGAAAGGUUGAACACUGUAUCAUGAAGAGACAACUGUGGAUAUAACAAAGACAGAGGAAGUGUGGCAAUAACAG